ACUCAAAUGAAUUGACGGGGGCCCGCACAAGCGGCGGAGCAUGUGGCUUAAUUCGACGCAACGCGAAGAACCUUACCUGGGUUUGACAUGCAGGGAAAUCCCAUAGAGAUAUGGGGUCCGCAAGGGUCCUGCACAGGUGGUGCAUGGCUGUCGUCAGCUCGUGUCGUGAGAUGUUGGGUUAAGUCCCGCAACGAGCGCAACCCUCGUCCUAUGUUGCCAGCGGAUAAUGCCGGGGACUCAUAGGAGACUGCCGGGGUCAACUCGGAGGAAGGUGGGGACGACGUCAAGUCAUCAUGCCCCUUAUGUCCAGGGCUGCACACAUGCUACAAUGGCCGGUACAAAGGGCAGCGAAACCGCAAGGUAGAGCGAAUCCCAAAAAGCCGGUCUCAGUUCGGAUUGGGGUCUGCAACUCGACCCCAUGAAGUCGGAGUCGCUAGUAAUCGCAGAUCAGCAACGCUGCGGUGAAUACGUUCCCGGGCCUUGCACACACCGCCCGU
Molecule: ribosomal RNA, 497 nt
Filed under: uncultured bacterium
Lineage: Bacteria
Description: partial 16S ribosomal RNA
Rfam family: Bacterial small subunit ribosomal RNA
Source: RNAcentral